This 629-nucleotide ribosomal RNA is filed under the name uncultured fungus. Its description in RNAcentral is "eukaryotic LSU rRNA". The stretch from base 206 to 359 matches the Rfam family "5.8S ribosomal RNA". The record is from RNAcentral. Lineage: Eukaryota; Fungi.
AGUCGUAACAAGGUUUCCGUAGGUGAACCUGCGGAAGGAUCAUUAGUGAAUCUAGGACGUCCAACUUAACUUGGAGUCCGAACUCUCACUUUCUAACCCUGUGCAUCUGUUUUAAAAUUGGCUAGUAGCUCUUCGGAGCGAACCACCAUUUUUCACUUAUACAAACACAAAGUCUAUGAAUGUAAACAAAUUUAUAACAAAACAAAACUUUCAACAACGGAUCUCUUGGCUCUCGCAUCGAUGAAGAACGCAGCGAAAUGCGAUACGUAAUGUGAAUUGCAGAAUUCAGUGAAUCAUCGAAUCUUUGAACGCACCUUGCGCUCCUUGGUAUUCCGAGGAGCAUGCCUGUUUGAGUGUCAUGAAAUCUUCAACCCACCUCUUUCUUAGUGAAUCUGGUGGUGCUUGGUUUCUGAGCGCUGCUCUGCUUCGGCUUAGCUCGUUCGUAAUGCAUUAGCAUCCGCAACCGAAACUUCGGAUUGACUUGGCGUAAUAGACUAUUCGCUGAGGAUUCCAGACUUGUUCUGGAGCCGAGUUGGGUUAAAGGAAGCUUCUAAUCCUAAAGUCUAUUUUUUGAUUAGAUCUCAAAUCAGGUAGGACUACCCGCUGAACUUAAGCAUAUCAAUAAGUCG